AGCAGCGUGGCUCAGUGGAAAGAGCCUGGGCUUCGGACUCAGAGGUCAUGGGUUCGACUCCCGGCUCUGCCA
This 72-nucleotide transfer RNA is filed under the name Ornithorhynchus anatinus (platypus). It matches the Rfam family "tRNA". From Rfam's summary of the family: Transfer RNA (tRNA) molecules are approximately 80 nucleotides in length. Lineage: Eukaryota; Metazoa; Chordata; Mammalia; Monotremata; Ornithorhynchidae. The record is from Rfam by way of RNAcentral.